GAAAUGCGAUAAGUAAUGUGAAUUGCAGAAUUCAGUGAAUCAUCGAAUCUUUGAACGCACAUUGCGCUCGCCAGUAUUCUGGCGAGCAUGCCUGUUCGAGCGUCAUUUCAACCAUCAAGCUCUGCUUGCGUUGGGGAUCCGCGACUGCCCGCGGUCCCUCAAAAACAGUGGCGGGCUCGCUAGUCACACCGAGCGUAGUAACUCUACAUCGCUAUGGUCGUGCGGCGGGUUCUUGCCGUAAAACCCCCAAUUUCUAAGGUUGACCUCGGAUCAGGUAGGAAUACCCGCUGAACUUAAGC
This 299-nucleotide unclassified non-coding RNA is filed under the name plant metagenome. Its description in RNAcentral is "partial contains 5.8S ribosomal RNA, internal transcribed spacer 2, and large subunit ribosomal RNA". The stretch from base 1 to 105 matches the Rfam family "5.8S ribosomal RNA", at positions 50 to 154 of the family's 154-position model. The record is from RNAcentral.